UACAGAGGUCUCAAGCGUUGUUCGGAUUCAUUGGGCGUAAAGGGUGCGUAGGUGGUGAGGUAAGUCGGAUGUGAAAUCUCCGAGCUCAACUCGGAAACUGCAUUGGAAACUACCUUGCUCGAGGGUUGGAGGGGGGACUGGAAUGCUUGGUGUAGCAGUGAAAUGCGUAGAUAUCAAGCGGAACACCAGUGGCGAAGGCGAGUCCCUGGACAACUCCUGACACUGAUGCACGAAAGCUAGGGGAGCAAACAGG
This 253-nucleotide ribosomal RNA is filed under the name uncultured bacterium. RNAcentral describes it as "partial 16S ribosomal RNA". It matches the Rfam family "Bacterial small subunit ribosomal RNA", at positions 524 to 776 of the family's 1533-position model. The record is from RNAcentral.